Molecule: long non-coding RNA, 791 nt
Organism: Oncorhynchus tshawytscha (Chinook salmon)
Lineage: Eukaryota; Metazoa; Chordata; Actinopteri; Salmoniformes; Salmonidae
Source: Ensembl
UGUGAUCUUCCUGUCUGGGUUGGCGCCCCCCUUGGGUUGUGCCGUGGCGGAGAUCUUUGUGGGCUAUACUCGGCCUUGUCUCAGGGUGGUAAGUUGGUGGUUGAAGAUAUUCCUCUAGUGGUGUGGGGGCUGUGCUUUGGCAAAGUGGGUGGGGUUAUAUCCUGCCUAUUUGGCCCUGUCCGGGGGGUAUCAUCGGAUGGGGCCACAGUGUCUCCUGACCCCUCCUGUCUCAGCCUCCAGUAUUUAUGCUGCAGUAGUUUAUGUGUCGGGGGGGCUAGAGUCAGUUUGUUAUAUCUGGAGUACUUCUCCUGUCUUAUCCGGUGUCAUGUGUGAAUUUAAGUAUGCUCUCUCUAAUUCUCUCUUUCUUUCUCUCUCUCGGAGGACCUGAGCCCUUGGACCAUGCCUGAGGACUACCUGGCAUGAUGACUCCUUGCUGUCCCCAGUCCACCUGGCCGUGCUGCUGCUCCAGUUUCAAAUGUUCUACCUGCGGUCUCCAAGACUGAGGAAGAGCUUCAGGAGAUCCUGAUCCGAAAAGAGGCGCAGAUGAAAGAAAAGCAGGAACGGAAGAAAAACAAGAGCAGGAUGUUUCCCAAAAGAAAGCGUUACGGGAGGAGAACAAGAAAAGAAGCAUGGCAGGCAUCAAGAGGAAGCGCCAGGAGGAGGAAGAGCAUGACCCUGAAGUGGAGGAUCCCGGGAACCAGGAUAACAGGCCCCCGGUUGUUGAAUCUGACGACGAGGCAGAGUACUACAGACAGAUAUGUUCCCUGCAGCCAAGAGGAGGCAAAGACCUG